AUUUUAUAUAUGUGUAAACUAAUCGGACACAACAUCCCGUCCAUAAUAUGAGGUCCUUCAGCGGUGUCAUAGGUUCAACAUGUUUACACAUCAUUUGAAUUUAACACUUUUUUUU
Molecule: small RNA, 115 nt
Filed under: Arabidopsis thaliana (thale cress)
Lineage: Eukaryota; Viridiplantae; Streptophyta; Magnoliopsida; Brassicales; Brassicaceae
Description: ATSL239300
Source: RNAcentral